This 528-nucleotide long non-coding RNA is filed under the name Olea europaea subsp. europaea. The record is from RNAcentral. Lineage: Eukaryota; Viridiplantae; Streptophyta; Magnoliopsida; Lamiales; Oleaceae.
CUCAAAUUUUGUCCAUAUUUCUUGUUCUUGAUCUAAUCUAAAUUUGGAGUUCAGAUUAAUUCACCUCCCAAUUAGAUGUUGGCUAUUCUUAUUCUUUUUAUCUUGGAAAGUUGGGUUUCAAGAAAACUGAGAAUUAUCAUGUUAUGUUUUCAUUGAAUUUAUUCCCAUCACAUCAAUUGUUUUAGCAUCCUUGUGUGCCAGAGUUCCUGUUUAAUCUGUAUUUCCUCCAUCUAUAAGUGUAGUGCUGUACUACCCAUGGAUUUUUGGAGUGCUACUAUUAAACAUGGCCUAUCUUUGCUUAUCUGGUUAUUAAAAUCAUUUGAGGUUCUUGUUUUGACAUUGUUCGUUAUACUUAUGAGUUUCUCCUUCAAGUCUUGGUGAUGGUUUGGUUAUCUUGGUGGAUGAUGACUUUUCAUCCUUAUCAACUUUGAGUUCUUUGUUUGGAUUGGUUGGCAUACAAUCAAUUUUAAAGUAUCAUUUGAUCCUUGGAAGAGAAAUAUUUGAUUUAGAUCAAUUUAAUUUUCAAAC